Molecule: long non-coding RNA, 134 nt
Filed under: Mustela putorius furo (domestic ferret)
Lineage: Eukaryota; Metazoa; Chordata; Mammalia; Carnivora; Mustelidae
Description: lncRNA (ENSMPUG00000024363.1)
Source: RNAcentral
AGUUUUCUGUGAUCUGGCUUCCGGCUACUUCUCAGGCAGCCUCUCCUGAACUCUCCCCAUUGACAUGCUCUGCCUCAGCCACACUGGCCUUGUGACUGGCCCUCCAACAUGCCAGGCAAUCUCUAUCUUGAGAG